This 350-nucleotide transfer-messenger RNA is filed under the name Coriobacteriia. Its description in RNAcentral is "JAJFTR01 sp021372825 Standard tmRNA". It matches the Rfam family "transfer-messenger RNA". Rfam says of the family: Bacterial tmRNA, also known as 10Sa RNA or SsrA, is named for its dual tRNA and mRNA-like properties. The record is from RNAcentral. Lineage: Bacteria; Bacillati; Actinomycetota. RNAcentral also lists the same sequence under 2 other names.
GGGGGCGACUGGAUUCGACACGAUAGGUCUGAGGGAAGAAGCAGGCCGAGGUCUCCUCGCCUCGAUAAACAGGGGUACAGACGCUCAAGCGUCGACAAUGACUACGCUCUCGCUGCCUAGUAGGUAGCGACGUCGACCCGGUGUGAGUCCCCGCCACCGGCAAGACGUCACUUCAGGGGACUGCCGCAGCGGUCACGGGCAGGAACGCCGCUGCGAAAGACGCGGACUGCCAGGGCGCGGGCACGCGGGUCACCAGUGUCGCCUUCGCUGACGAGAAUCGGUGACUGAGCCUGGAGAUGCUUCCCAGGGGUCUAUCGUGGACCGGAGUUCGAUUCUCCGCGCCUCCACCA